RNAcentral lists this ribosomal RNA (495 nucleotides) under uncultured bacterium. RNAcentral describes it as "partial 16S ribosomal RNA". It matches the Rfam family "Bacterial small subunit ribosomal RNA", at positions 28 to 505 of the family's 1533-position model. The record is from RNAcentral.
GAUGAACGCUGGCGGCGUGCCUAAUACAUGCAAGUCGAGCGAACGGACGAUAAGCUUGCUUCUCUGCUGUUAGCGGCGGACGGGUGAGUAACACGUGGAUAACCUACCUCUAAGACUGGGAUAACUUCGGGAAACCGGAGCUAAUACCGCAUAAUAUUUUGAACCGCAUGGUUCAAAAGUGAAAGACGGUCUUGCCGUCACUUAUAGAUGGAUCCGCGGUGCAUUAUAUAGUGGGUAAGGUAACGGCUUACCAACGAAACGAUGCAUAGCCGACCUGAGGGGGAGAUGGGCCACUGUGAAACUGACACAGGGCCCAGACCCACACGAGAGACAGGAGUAGGGAAUUUGCCGCAAUGGGCGAAAGCCAGACAGAGCAACGCCGCGUGAGUGAAGAAGGUCUUCGGAUUGUAAAACUCUGUUAUUAGGGAAGAACAUAUGUGUAAGUAACUGGGCGGACUUAGAGUGUACCUAAACAGAAAGCCGCGGAAAACCACG